GAAAGUAAGCAAGGGCAGACGGUGGAUGCCUUGGCUCUCGGAGGCGAUGAAGGACGUGAUAAGCUGCGAUAAGCUUGGGGUAGGUGCAAAUAACCUUUGAUCCCAAGAUUUCCGAAUGGGGCAACCCGGCUGGUAGAAGGCCAGUCAUUCCGUAAGGAAGGCGAACGUGGGGAACUGAAACAUCUAAGUACCCAUAGGAGAAGAAAACAAAAGUGAUUCCGCAAGUAGUGGCGAGCGAACGCGGAACAGCCCAAACCGAUGAUGUUUAGGCAUUGUCGGGGUAGUAGGACCACGUUGUGGCAAGAGAUUAAGGAAGUAGAACGUUUUGGAACAAACGGCCGUAGACGGUGAAAGCCCAGUAUACGACUCUUUAACGAAGCCUAGUGGAAUCCUGAGUAGCGCGGAGCACGAGAAAUUCUGUGUGAAUCAGCGGGGCCCAUCCCGUAAGGCUAAAUACUCCCGAGAGACCGAUAGCGAACCAGUACUGUGAAGGAAAGGUGAAAAGCACCUCGAACAGAGGAGUGAAAUAGUCCCUGAAACCGUCUGCCUACAAGCGGUCGGAGCAACGUAAGUUGUGACGGCGUGCCUUUUGCAUAAUGAACCUACGAGUUACUUUCUCCGGCAAGGUUAAGGGCUUCAGGCCCGGAGCCGAAGCGAAAGCGAGUCUUAAUAGGGCGUGAUAGUCGGAGUGAGUAGACGCGAAACCAAGUGAUCUACCCUUGGUCAGGAUGAAGGUUGGGUAACACCAACUGGAGGUCCGAAUGGGUAUACGUUGAAAAGUGUUCCAAUGAACUGAGGGUAGGGGUGAAAGGCUAAUCAAACUUGGAGAUAGCUCGUACUCCCCGAAAUGCAUUUAGGUGCAGCCUUUAUUUAGUAUAGCAUGAGGUAGAGCGACUGAUUGGAUGCGAGGGCUUCACCGCCUAUCAAGUCCAGAUAAACUCCGAAUGCGUGCUAUAUAUUGAUAAGGAGUGAGGGCGCGGGUGCUAAGGUCCGCGUCCGAGAGGAGAAGAAUCCAGACCAUCAGCUAAGGUCCCCAAAUAACAGUUAAGUUGAACUAACGAAGUCGGACUGCAGAGACAGCUAGGAUGUUGGCUUGGAAGCAGCCAUUCAUUUAAAGAGUGCGUAACAGCUCACUAGUCGAGGAGUCCGGCGUGGAUAAUACUCGGGCAUAAACUGUUUACCGAAGCUAUGGAUGUAGAAAUACAUGGUAGGGGAGCAUUCCAACGGCGUCGAAGGUGAAGGAUGACCUUUGCUGGAGCUUUUGGAAACGCAAAUGUAGGUAUAAGUAACGAUAAAGGAGGUGAGAAACCUCCUCGCCGAAAGACUAAGGUUUCCUGAUCAACGUUAAUCGGAUCAGGGUAAGUCGGGACCUAAGGUUAAGCCGAACGGCGAUACCGAUGGAAGAAUGGUUUAAUAUUCCCAUACUACUUUAUGGAGCGAUGUGGAGACGGAGAAGUGAAAGUCCUGCCAUCUGACGGAAUAGGUGGUUGAAGAGUGUAGAUGUAGAUUCCUGUAGGCAAAUCCGCAGGGAGAGUCGACCUUGAUAGUAUGCCGCGUGCUUGCACAAGGCAAAAUGGACGUAAUCAGGCUCCCAAGAAAAUCCGCUAAGCAUAUUCAUAAAGUACCCGUACCGUAAACGGACACACGUAGUUGGGUUGAAAAUACUGAGGCGCUCGAGUGAUUCACGGUUAAGGAACUAGGCAAAUUGACCCUGUAACUUCGGGAUAAAGGGUCCCUACUGAGAGGUAGGGCGCAGAGAAUAGGUCCAGGCAACUGUUUAACAAAAACACAUGGCUGUGCGAAAUAGAAAUAUGAAGUAUACAGCCUGACACCUGCCCGGUGCUGGAAGGUUAAGAGGAGAGCUCAUCGCAAGAGAAGGCUUGAAUUGAAGCCCCAGUAAACGGCGGCCGUAACUAUAACGGUCCUAAGGUAGCGAAAUUCCUUGUCGG
Molecule: ribosomal RNA, 1949 nt
Filed under: human gut metagenome
Description: bacterial LSU rRNA
Rfam family: Bacterial large subunit ribosomal RNA
Source: RNAcentral